AGGUCUAAUUUUGGGUAAUUUGGGUCCAUUUAUGAAGGUUCUAGGACCAUCAAGGUAGCUUCUGAAGCCCGGGCAGCUAUUUGGGGUUACAGGGUGAGGUUUUGGGGUCUCCUACAAGAUAGUUAUGGGGUCAGGGGGGUCCCUUGGUGGUCCUGAGGUAGAUUUUGGGUCACUUUAGCACCAAUUUGGGUCACUUUAGCUCCAAUUUGGGUCCAGUUAUGAAGGUUCUAGGUCCUUCAAGGUAGGUUCUGAAGCCCGGGGAGCUAUUUGGGGUUAUGGGGUGGGGUUUUGGGGUCCUUUGGGAUGUAGUUAUGGGAUUGGGGGGUCACCUGGUGGUUUUGGGGUGAAUUUUGGGUCACUUUAGUUCUAAUUUGGGGCAAUUUGGGUCCAGUUAUGAAGGUUCUAGGUCCGUCAAGGUGGGUUUUGAAGCCCGGGGAGCUAUUUGGGGUUACGGGGUGGGGUUUUGGGGUCCCUUGUGACGUAAUUAUGGGAUCGGGGGGGUCCCUUGGUGAUCCUGGGGUGGAUUUUGGGUCACUUUAGCACCAAUUUGGGUCACUUUAGUUCCAAUUUGGGUCCAGUUAUGAAGGUUCUAGGUCCUUCAAGGUGCGUUUCGAAGCCUGGGGAGAUAUUUGGGGUUACGGGAUCGGGAUUUGGGGUCCCUUGAGACGUAAUUAUGGGAUUGGGGGGGGUCAUCUGGUGUUCCUAGGGUGGAUUUUGGGUCACUUUAGCUCUAAUUUGGGGCAAUUUGGGUCCAGUUAUGAAGGUUCUAGGUCCUUCAAGGUAGCUUCUGAAGCCCGGGGAGCUAUUUGGGGUUACGGGGUCAGGUUUUGGGGUCC
This 836-nucleotide long non-coding RNA is filed under the name Anser cygnoides (Swan goose). Its description in RNAcentral is "lncRNA (ENSACDG00005006804.1)". The record is from RNAcentral. Lineage: Eukaryota; Metazoa; Chordata; Aves; Anseriformes; Anatidae.